RNAcentral lists this ribosomal RNA (253 nucleotides) under uncultured Acidobacteriota bacterium. RNAcentral describes it as "uncultured Acidobacteria bacterium partial 16S ribosomal RNA". It matches the Rfam family "Bacterial small subunit ribosomal RNA", at positions 524 to 776 of the family's 1533-position model. The record is from RNAcentral. Lineage: Bacteria; Pseudomonadati; Acidobacteriota.
UACGUAGGCAGCAAGCGUUGUUCGGAGUUACUGGGCGUAAAGAGUGCGUAGGCGGUUCUGCAAGUUUGUUGUGAAAUCUCCCGGCUUAACUGGGAGGGUGCGGCGAAAACUGCGGGGCUUGAGUGUGGGAGAGGUAAGCGGAAUUCCUGGUGUAGCGGUGAAAUGCGUAGAUAUCAGGAGGAACACCGGCGGUGUAGACGGCUUACUGGACCAUGACUGACGCUGAGGCACGAAAGCGUGGGGAGCAAACAGG